This 88-nucleotide microRNA precursor is filed under the name Lepisosteus oculatus (spotted gar). RNAcentral's name for it is "Danio rerio let-7a-2 stem-loop (ENSLOCG00000019136.1)". The stretch from base 5 to 81 matches the Rfam family "let-7 microRNA precursor family". From Rfam's summary of the family: This family represents the microRNAs (miRNA) let-7 and mir-98. let-7 was identified from a study of developmental timing in C. elegans, and was later shown to be part of a much larger class of non-coding RNAs termed miRNAs. The record is from RNAcentral. Lineage: Eukaryota; Metazoa; Chordata; Actinopteri; Semionotiformes; Lepisosteidae.
GCUUGCAGGCUGAGGUAGUAGGUUGUAUAGUUUAGAAUUACACCACGGGAGAUAACUGUACAACCUCCUAGCUUUCCCUGAGGCACGC